AUACGGAGGGUGCAAGCGUUGUUCGGAAUUACUGGGCGUAAAGCGCGUGCAGGCGGUAAGGUAAGUCAGAUGUGAAAGCCCCGGGCUCAACCCGGGAAGUGCAUUUGAUACUGCCUUUCUUGAGUAUGGGAGAGGGGUGUGGAAUUCCUAGUGUAGAGGUGAAAUUCGUAGAUAUUAGGAGGAACACUCGUGGCGAAGGCGACACCCUGGAACGUAACUGACGCUGAGAUGCGAAAGCGUGGGGAGCAAACAGGAUUAGAUACCCGAGUAGUCC
Molecule: ribosomal RNA, 274 nt
Filed under: uncultured bacterium
Lineage: Bacteria
Description: partial 16S ribosomal RNA
Rfam family: Bacterial small subunit ribosomal RNA
Source: RNAcentral